GCCGGGUGUGGCAGUGUGCACCUGUAAUCCCAGCUACUUGGGGGGCUGAGGCAGGAGAAUCGCCUGAGGUCAGGAGUUCGAGACCAGCCUGGCCAACAUGGUGAAACCCCGUCUCUA
RNAcentral lists this small RNA (117 nucleotides) under Papio anubis (olive baboon). RNAcentral's name for it is "Metazoan signal recognition particle RNA (ENSPANG00000038074.1)". The record is from Rfam by way of RNAcentral. Lineage: Eukaryota; Metazoa; Chordata; Mammalia; Primates; Cercopithecidae.